RNAcentral lists this ribosomal RNA (499 nucleotides) under uncultured bacterium. RNAcentral's name for it is "partial 16S ribosomal RNA". It matches the Rfam family "Bacterial small subunit ribosomal RNA", at positions 28 to 507 of the family's 1533-position model. The record is from RNAcentral.
GAUGAACGCUGGCGGCGUGCCUAAUACAUGCAAGUCGAGCGAACAGACGAGAGUGCUUGCACUCUCUGACGUUAGCGGCGGACGGGUGAGUAACACGUGAGUAACCUACCUAUAAGACUGGGAUAACUUCGGGAAACCGGAGCUAAUACCGGAUAAUAUUUAGCUUCGCAUGAAGCAAUAGUGAAAGACGGUUCUGCUGUCACUUAUAGAUGGACCCGCGGUGUAUUAGCUAGUUGGUGAGGUAACGGCUCACCAAGGCAACGAUACAUAGCCGACCUGAGAGGGUGAUCGGCCACACUGGGACUGAGACACGGCCCAGACUCCUACGGGAGGCAGCAGUAGGGAAUCUUCCGCAAUGGACGAAAGUCUGACGGAGCAAUGCCGCGUGAGUGAAGAAGGUUUUCGGAUCGUAAAACUCUGUUGUAAGGGAAGAACAAGUACGUUAGUAACUGAACGUACCUUGACGGUACCUUACCAGAAAGCCACGGCUAACUACGUG